GACGAACGCUGGCGGCGUGCUUAACACAUGCAAGUCGAACGGAAAGGCCCUGCUUUUGUGGGGUGCUCGAGUGGCGAACGGGUGAGUAACACGUGAGUAACCUGCCCUUGACUUUGGGAUAACUUCAGGAAACUGGGGCUAAUACCGGAUAGGAGCUCCUGCUGCAUGGUGGGGGUUGGAAAGUUUCGGCGGUUGGGGAUGGACUCGCGGCUUAUCAGCUUGUUGGUGGGGUAGUGGCUUACCAAGGCUUUGACGGGUAGCCGGCCUGAGAGGGUGACCGGCCACAUUGGGACUGAGAUACGGCCCAGACUCCUACGGGAGGCAGCAGUGGGGAAUAGUGCACAAUGGGCGGAAGCCUGAUGCAGCAACGCCGCGUGCGGGAUGACGGCCUUCGGGUUGUAAACCGCUUUCGCCUGUGACGAAGCGUGAGUGACGGUAAUGGGUAAAGAAGCACCGGCUAACUACGUA
Molecule: ribosomal RNA, 468 nt
Filed under: uncultured bacterium
Lineage: Bacteria
Description: partial 16S ribosomal RNA
Rfam family: Bacterial small subunit ribosomal RNA
Source: RNAcentral